GACGAACGCUGGCGGCGUGCCUAACACAUGCAAGUCGAACGGGACCGCAAGGUCAGUGGCGAACGGGUGCGUAACACGUGAGAAACGUAGCCAUCGGCGGGGGAUAGCCGGUCCAACGACCGGGUAAUACCGCGUACGACCUUCGGGUGGCAUCACCUGGAGGUGAAAGCAGCAAUGCGCCGAUGGGGCGUCUCGCGGCCUAUCAGCUAGUUGGUGAGGUAACGGCUCACCAAGGC
RNAcentral lists this ribosomal RNA (236 nucleotides) under uncultured bacterium. Its description in RNAcentral is "partial 16S ribosomal RNA". It matches the Rfam family "Bacterial small subunit ribosomal RNA", at positions 28 to 274 of the family's 1533-position model. The record is from RNAcentral.